This 709-nucleotide long non-coding RNA is filed under the name Mus pahari (shrew mouse). RNAcentral's name for it is "lncRNA (MGP_PahariEiJ_G0012435.1)". The stretch from base 254 to 524 matches the Rfam family "SOX2 overlapping transcript exon 3". The record is from RNAcentral. Lineage: Eukaryota; Metazoa; Chordata; Mammalia; Rodentia; Muridae.
GAAAAAAAAAAAGACAGCUUUGAACAAAAGUCCACAGCCAGUGUGUUCCAAGUCCCUGCUCAGGGCUGACUGUGGCAGGGGACACUCUCCUGCUGGCUCUCUCUGUCCACACUUAGCUGGCUCCUGUCCUCAGGUGCACGGCCACACCCUUGCACCCAACCUUGAUCCUCUGAUGGGGAAGGUCCCAGAACUUGUCUGCUGGGACAGGCCUCACCCCCAAGAGCUCUGGGCAGUACUGAGAAGGGGAUUGCAGAGGCAAAGCUAGGCUAGGUCUUGGAGGCUGGUGUAAGGCGGUGCGUGAAGGCAGGACGCUGAUGGGAGAGACUGGUCGAAGAAAAGCCGAAAUGGAUUCUCCGUGCCUUGGAUGGAGGAAGAGGGGCGAAGCGCGAGCUUCUUCAACUCGUUCUGUCCGGUGAGGAGUGAUCCAGCUUGGGCUGACGAGGGGCUCCGGAGCCUUCACGUUCAGUGCUUUUUACCUGCCAAUCAAACUGCUACAAGACAACACCCUGAUCUGGCAUGGUCGCAUCGAACCUAGAAAUUGUACUCUCCUCAAGAUCCGCUUGAGAGAAUCUGACUGAUGGCUUUGGUCUGAGAGUUCAGACAUCUCUUGUGAUACUAAGAAAGAUUCCUUUUCCAUUUGCUGGAUCCUCCUGUUUUGUCAUCCCUGAGUCCUGUAAGAAGCUCAUCAGGAGGUCCCCUGCGCUGGAAG